CGGUGGGUGCAAUUCCCACCCGGCAACUAUCGCUCCAGCCGGUAGCAAUCGGAACGGCUGUGGAGGUAACGAAGCAGCCGAAGCCUCUGGUGUAGAAGGUCAUUAUAGGUGACUUGUCGAGCAUGCAGGCCGAACGAGU
Nitrococcus mobilis Nb-231 is the source of this 139-nucleotide non-coding RNA. Lineage: Bacteria; Pseudomonadati; Pseudomonadota; Gammaproteobacteria; Chromatiales; Ectothiorhodospiraceae. The record is from Rfam.